UGGGGAAUUUUGCACAAUGGAGGAAACUCUGAUGCAGCGACGCCGCGUGAGUGAUGAAGAUCUUCGGAUUGUAAAACUCUGUCCUUAGUGAAGAUAAUGACAGUAACUAAGAAGCAAGCCCUGGCUAAAUACGUGCCAGCAGCCGCGGUAAUACGUAUGGGGCAAGCGUUGUCCGGAAUUAUUGGGCGUAAAGGGUACGUAGGCGGUUUAAUAAGUCCUAAUUAAAAGGCUAUGGCUCAACCAUAGGAUGGUUAGGAAACUGUUGAACUUGAGUAGAUGAGGGGAAAGUGGAAUUCCAUGUGUAGCGGUGAAAUGCGUAGAUAUAUGGGGGAACACCAAUGGCGAAGGCAACUUUCUGGAAUCAAACUGACGCUGAGGUACGAAGGCGUGGGGAGCAAACAGG
RNAcentral lists this ribosomal RNA (403 nucleotides) under Fusobacteriota bacterium. RNAcentral describes it as "Fusobacteria bacterium partial 16S ribosomal RNA". It matches the Rfam family "Bacterial small subunit ribosomal RNA", at positions 355 to 776 of the family's 1533-position model. The record is from RNAcentral. Lineage: Bacteria; Fusobacteriati; Fusobacteriota.